This 993-nucleotide ribosomal RNA is filed under the name Triticum aestivum (bread wheat). Its description in RNAcentral is "partial small subunit ribosomal RNA". The record is from RNAcentral. Lineage: Eukaryota; Viridiplantae; Streptophyta; Magnoliopsida; Poales; Poaceae.
AUGCUUCUAUCUGAGAGAUGUCAAGGCUCGAUGCAGUAUCUUCACCUUGCCAAUUUGGACUUACAUCCCACAUUUGAACUUGGUUUGAGAACCCUAAGAACGCUGCAUCUGUGUAAUGUGCAUAUUACUGGGGAUGAGUUAGGGUGCCUUCUGACCCAUUCCUUUGCUUUGGCACAUUUGAGACUUCAAUAUUGUCAUGACAUCAUUCGCCUGGAGAUACCUUGUCUGCUGCAGCGGCUCAGGUUCCUGGAAGUGCUUGAAUGUAGCCUUCAGGUGUUAGAGAUCAAUGCCCCAAAUAUCUUCAGAUUGCGCUUAUUAGAUUUUAGUGUGCAACUCUUGCUUGGAAAGUCAUGGAAGAUGAAGAACCUGAUGUUGAACAAUAGCUGUGUCAUCAGUUAUGCUAUUAACAACCUUCCUUCCUGUGCACCAAAAGUUGAGACUCUUACCAUACAUUCUAGUUAUGAGAUACUUAAUGCACCAGUGGCAUCUAGCAAAUUUCGCCACCUCAAGUUCUUGAAUAUUUAUCUUGCGGGACUUCAUUCUCAUCGGGACUAUGAUUAUUUAUCCUUAGUUUCUUUUUUUGACGCUUCUCCUUUGUUGGAGAAGUUUGUCUUGCUUGUAUCACGAGUGCAGUCCAAGUAUGACUGGUUUGAGGGAGAUCCCUCAUCUCUGAGACAAAUGUCAGAACACCGCCAUCGCAACCUCAAGAGUGUGAAGAUCAGUAGUUUCUGCCCCCAAAAAAGCAUGCUUGAGCUAGCACGUCAUAUUCUUGAGAAUGCAACAUCACUUGAGUGCCUUACAUUGGACACCACUCCUAUUAGUCACCGAUGUUCUGGCGAUAUGUUGGACAGGAAAUGCCCUCCACUGGAAACUGAAUGUAUAAGGGAUGCACAUAAAUCAAACUUGGCUGUGAGAAAAUACAUUGAGGGGAAAGUUAACUCCACAGUCAAGUUAAACUUACUAGGGCCUUGCAGCCGGUGUUAUGCUUUGUGA